CGUGGGAGCGGGCUUGCUCGCGAUGCAGGCGAUGCGGUUUUCAGUUAAACCGUGUCGUGCCAAUCGCGAGCAAGCCCGCUCCCACA
RNAcentral lists this non-coding RNA (86 nucleotides) under Pseudomonas psychrophila. Lineage: Bacteria; Pseudomonadati; Pseudomonadota; Gammaproteobacteria; Pseudomonadales; Pseudomonadaceae. The record is from RNAcentral.